Molecule: ribosomal RNA, 427 nt
Filed under: uncultured bacterium
Lineage: Bacteria
Description: bacterial SSU rRNA
Rfam family: Bacterial small subunit ribosomal RNA
Source: RNAcentral
UGGGGAAUCUUCCGCAAUGGGCGAAAGCCUGACGGAGCAACGCCGCGUGAGUGAUGACGGCCUUCGGGUUGUAAAGCUCUGUGAUCGGGGACGAACGGUCAGCAGACGAAUACUCUGCUGAAGUGACGGUACCCGAAUAGCAAGCCACGGCUAACUACGUGCCAGCAGCCGCGGUAAUACGUAGGUGGCAAGCGUUGUCCGGAAUUAUUGGGCGUAAAGCGCGCGCAGGCGGCUUCUUAAGUCCAUCUUAAAAGUGCGGGGCUUAACCCCGUGAUGGGAUGGAAACUGAGAGGCUGGAGUAUCGGAGAGGAAAGUGGAAUUCCUAGUGUAGCGGUGAAAUGCGUAGAGAUUAGGAAGAACACCGGUGGCGAAGGCGACUUUCUGGACGACAACUGACGCUGAGGCGCGAAAGCGUGGGGAGCAAACA